AAGUCGAACGCUUCUUUUUCCACCGGAGCUUGCUCCACCGGAAAAAGAGGAGUGGCGAACGGGUGAGUAACACGUGGGUAACCUGCCCAUCAGAAGGGGAUAACACUUGGAAACAGGUGCUAAUACCGUAUAACAAUCRAAACCGCAUGGUUUUGAUUUGAAAGGCGCUUUCGGGUGUCGCUGAUGGAUGGACCCGCGGUGCAUUAGCUAGUUGGUGAGGUAACGGCUCACCAAGGCCACGAUGCAUAGCCGACCUGAGAGGGUGAUCGGCCACAUUGGGACUGAGACACGGCCCAAACUCCUACGGGAGGCAGCAGUAGGGAAUCUUCGGCAAUGGACGAAAGUCUGACCGAGCAACGCCGCGUGAGUGAAGAAGGUUUUCGGAUCGUAAAACUCUGUUGUUAGAGAAGAACAAGGAUGAGAGUAACUGUUCAUCCCUUGACGGUAUCUAACCAGAAAGCCACGGCUAACUACGUGCCAGCAGCCGCGGUAAUACGUAGGUGGCAAGCGUUGUCCGGAUUUAUUGGGCGUAAAGCGAGCGCAGGCGGUUUCUUAAGUCUGAUGUGAAAGCCCCCGGCUCAACCGGGGAGGGUCAUUGGAAACUGGGAGACUUGAGUGCAGAAGAGGAGAGUGGAAUUCCAUGUGUAGCGGUGAAAUGCGUAGAUAUAUGGAGGAACACCAGUGGCGAAGGCGGCUCUCUGGUCUGUAACUGACGCUGAGGCUCGAAAGCGUGGGGAGCAAACAGGAUUAGAUACCCUGGUAGUCCACGCCGUAAACGAUGAGUGCUAAGUGUUGGAGGGUUUCCGCCCUUCAGUGCUGCAGCUAACGCAUUAAGCACUCCGCCUGGGGAGUACGACCGCAAGGUUGAAACUCAAAGGAAUUGACGGGGGCCCGCACAAGCGGUGGAGCAUGUGGUUUAAUUCGAAGCAACGCGAAGAACCUUACCAGGUCUUGACAUCCUUUGACCACUCUAGAGAUAGAACUUCCCCUUCGGGGGCAAAGGGA
This 1005-nucleotide ribosomal RNA is filed under the name Enterococcus faecium. RNAcentral describes it as "bacterial SSU rRNA". Lineage: Bacteria; Bacillati; Bacillota; Bacilli; Lactobacillales; Enterococcaceae. The record is from RNAcentral.